UUGCUUGGGUAAGCGAUGCAUUCUGAAACCUUUAAAUUAGCAUUUCUGUUUUAAGUUGUUUGAGGAUUUGAGGUCUUGGUGUCAUAGGAUGGAGUUACGGGUCUUGAUAGCUGAGUUUUAUGGCUGUUGCAUACAGCAUCAAGGUGCUACGUCAUCACCGGAGCUGCUGUUGCUCCGUUUUCUCGAUUAUUCGUAAGCCCAGAUUGAGCUAAGGCUGUGUUUAGAGGCUGUGGCUGCCACGGGGACGGUCGGUAUUGAUGCUGUUGCUGUGGGAUAAGAAUAGAAAUGCAGUUUGUCGCGUAGUUGAAACGCGAACGAGGUAGGGGUUUUUCUUAAAUUCUAUUUUAUAUUACAGAGUUGUUAUAAAUAGAUAUUGACGUAGAGAGAUAUACCUUUGUGAUUAUAUUUGUCUUGUGAAUGUGAUGGUUUGUUGGACUGAAUUAUUGGUUGCUUGAUUGCUUGAGUGAAGUACGAUUGUUGAUAAAAAAUGGGUUUGAAAAGUUAUUUACUUAAUUAUUAUGAAAAGUGGUUUUUCUUGGUUUGGAGUUAAAGUGGUUUGAUUUUGAGUCGGUCUGAUUUUAUAAAUGAUUUAAUACUUGAGCUGGUUUGAUUUUAAAAAGAGUUUUAUUAUUGGAAUUGGUCUGAUUUGAGAAUAAUUUGAUAUUGGAGCUGGUUCAACUCUGGAAAAUGUUUGAAAUUCGGAAAUGGUUGAGAAAAUGUUUGAGAAAUGUUUGGGUGGGACCCGAAAAGGGUGGCAGUGUCCGAGUUUUAGAGGAGAUGCUGCCGAAAUUUUAUAAAAUUGAAAGUUUUGCCUAAAGUGAUGAUUUAAAAAGAUUUAGUUUUUGAACGUUAUAUGUUUUAAGAUUGAUUUAUUUAGAAAAGAAAUAAUUAUGCUUUGAAUUGAGAUUGUUGAUUAACGGAAAGAAUGAUGAUGAGGAUUGAUUUGAAAUAUGAUUUUUGAAUGAAUUUGGAAAUGGGAUAUGGAUUGAUGAAUGUGAUGAUAUUGAAAAUGGCUUAGAUGUUGAUGAAUGAUGAAUGAAUUAUUUAUAUGGCUUAUGAAUUUGAAAUAUCUGAGAUACGAGGUUCCCUGGAUUAAGUGCCGUGGCUUGCCACCACGUGUACCAGGUUGAAAACUCGAUAUUCUGUUGACCCUACGACGUAAGUGUGACCGGGCACUAUAUAAAUUCCCGGGAAUGAUACCGCCAUUGAGUAAUAUUGAUUAUUUGAGAAAAAGCUAUGCAUAGACUCUUGGGGAUGCACGUCGGGAGACGGUCUAAGGACAAUUCAGACUUGUCGGGUUGGCUGGAUAACCGACAGAUGAGCCUCAUCAGCCAUAGGACAGGCAUGCAUCAUAUGCAUUUGUAUGCUUUGCUUGGGUUUGAACUUGUUUUGGUUUGCCUAAUUGCUAAACUGUUCUUAACUACUACUUGAACUAUUUGCUGUAACUGCUACCUACUUGUGCUUUCCUUGUCUGUCUUGCCUGUGUUUGUUCUGGUGUGCUACAUCUGAGAAUGAACUUGGAUGCUGAAUUAAUGAUUGUGUUGUUUGAUUGCGUGGUUGAUUUCUGAAUGAGAUUUUCCUAUAAGAAAUGAAAGAUUUUGGAUUUCUGAAAGAUUAAACAUUGUUUCUUUGGAAAGGGUUUUGAACGAUUUCCUAUUGGUUUUAAAAGAUUCAUAAGGCAAUGAUAAUCACUGAGUUUGAAAACAGUUUCUUAUUAAAUAUCUUCUUAUAACAACUUUGAAACUCUGUGGUGAGACCGUGUUGUUAGGUUCUCACCCCCUACAGCUUUACCUUUUCAGGAUCCGGAGGAAGAAGCAUUAAGAAGAGAUAUACUGUGUUUGGUUUAUAAGAUAUUGUAUUAAUUAGAUUAUUUUCUUCCCUCGUCUUUGUUAUUACGAGUUUGUAAGAGGGAUAGGAAUUGUAUGUUUUAUAUGUAUAUUAUAUUAUGAGUUAUUAUCUAAGGAGUCUUGUAAAUGAAUCUAUGCCUGU
Arachis duranensis is the source of this 1989-nucleotide long non-coding RNA. RefSeq lists it as uncharacterized. The transcript is spliced from 3 exons. The record is from RefSeq and is a predicted model, not a curated record. NCBI's taxonomy places the organism in Eukaryota, Viridiplantae, Streptophyta, Magnoliopsida, Fabales, Fabaceae.